This 465-nucleotide ribosomal RNA is filed under the name Vreelandella stevensii. RNAcentral's name for it is "partial 16S ribosomal RNA". It matches the Rfam family "Bacterial small subunit ribosomal RNA", at positions 338 to 795 of the family's 1533-position model. The record is from RNAcentral. Lineage: Bacteria; Pseudomonadati; Pseudomonadota; Gammaproteobacteria; Oceanospirillales; Halomonadaceae.
CCUACGGGUGGCAGCAGUGGGGAAUAUUGGACAAUGGGCGAAAGCCUGAUCCAGCCAUGCCGCGUGUGUGAAGAAGGCCUUCGGGUUGUAAAGCACUUUCAGUGGGGAAGAAAGCCUUGGGGCUAAUACCCUCGAGGAAGGACAUCACCCACAGAAGAAGCACCGGCUAACUCCGUGCCAGCAGCCGCGGUAAUACGGAGGGUGCGAGCGUUAAUCGGAAUUACUGGGCGUAAAGCGCGCGUAGGCGGUCUGAUAAGCCGGUUGUGAAAGCCCCGGGCUCAACCUGGGAACGGCAUCCGGAACUGUCAGGCUAGAGUGCAGGAGAGGAAGGUAGAAUUCCCGGUGUAGCAGUGAAAUGCGUAGAGAUCGGGAGGAAUACCAGUGGCGAAGGCGGCCUUCUGGACUGACACUGACGCUGAGGUGCGAAAGCGUGGGUAGCAGACAGGAUUAGAUACCCUUGUAGUC